RNAcentral lists this ribosomal RNA (484 nucleotides) under uncultured bacterium. RNAcentral describes it as "partial 16S ribosomal RNA". It matches the Rfam family "Bacterial small subunit ribosomal RNA", at positions 30 to 507 of the family's 1533-position model. The record is from RNAcentral.
AUUGAACGCUGGCGGCAGGCCUAACACAUGCAAGUCGAGCGGAUGAAGGGAGCUUUCUCCUGGAUUCAGCGUCGGACGGGUGAGUAAUGCCUAGGAAUCUGCCUCGUAGUGGGGGAUAACGUCUGGAAACGGGCGCUAAUACUGCAUACGUCCUGAUGCAGAAAGUGGGGGAUCUUCGGACCUCACGCUAUCAGAUGAGCCUAGGUCGGAUUAGCUAGUUGGUGGGGUAAAGGCCUACCAAGGCGACGAUCCGUAACUGGUCUGAGCGGAUGAUCAGUCACACUGGAACUGGAACACGGUCCAGACUCCUACGGGAGGGAGCAGUGGGGAAUAUUGGGCAAUGGGCGAAAACCUGAUCCAGCGAUGCCGCGUGUGUGAAGAAGGUCUUCGGAUUGUAAAGCACUUUAAGUUGGGAGGAAGGGCAGUAAGUUAAUACCUUGCUGUUUUGACGUUACCAACAGAAUAAGCACCGGCUAACUACGUG